AUGAUGAGUCCUGUCCAGUUCCUGUUUCUGCUAAUGUUCUGGAUUCAGGAAACCAAUGGUGAUGCUGUGAUGAUCCAGACUCCACUGUCUUUAUCGGUUACCAUUGGACAACCAGCCUCUAUCUCUUGUAAUUCAAGUCAGAGCCUCUUAGAUAGUGAUGGAAAGACAUAUUUGAAUUGGUUAUUACAGAGGCCAGGCCAGUCUCCAAAGCGCCUAAUCUAUCUGGUGUCCAAACUGGACCCUGGCAUCCCUGACAGGUUCAGUGGCAGUGGAUCAGAGACAGAUUUUACACUUAAUAUCAGCAGAGUGGAGGCUGAGGAUUUGGGAGUUUAUUACUGCCUGCAAGCUACACAUUUUCCUCUCACAGACCCUAAAAAAACUUCCUUGCCUGCGGCAGCCCAGCUGGCAAUGUGCCUCUUGACUGGAGAGGAGCAAAACACCCUGUGUGUGAUAGAGAGAGAAGAGGGAAAAACAUGA
Mus caroli (Ryukyu mouse) is the source of this 477-nucleotide non-coding RNA. NCBI's taxonomy places the organism in Eukaryota, Metazoa, Chordata, Mammalia, Rodentia, Muridae. The record is from the annotation of a RefSeq genome assembly.